RNAcentral lists this ribosomal RNA (347 nucleotides) under uncultured bacterium. Its description in RNAcentral is "bacterial SSU rRNA". It matches the Rfam family "Bacterial small subunit ribosomal RNA", at positions 8 to 350 of the family's 1533-position model. The record is from RNAcentral.
CAGAGUUGAUCAUGGCUCAGGACGAACGCUGGCGGCGCGCCUAACACAUGCAAGUCGAACGGAGCUUAGAGAGCUUGCUUUUUAAGCUUAGUGGCGAACGGGUGAGUAACGCGUGAGUAACCUGCCCUAGAGUGGGGGACAACAGUUGGAAACGACUGCUAAUACCGCAUAAGCCCACGGUACCGCAUGGUACUGAGGGAAAAGGAUUUAUUCGCUUUAGGAUGGACUCGCGUCCAAUUAGCUAGUUGGUGAGGUAACGGCCCACCAAGGCGACGAUUGGUAGCCGGACUGAGAGGUUGAACGGCCACAUUGGGACUGAGACACGGCCCAGACUCCUACGGGAGGCA